RNAcentral lists this long non-coding RNA (960 nucleotides) under Mytilus galloprovincialis (Mediterranean mussel). Lineage: Eukaryota; Metazoa; Mollusca; Bivalvia; Mytilida; Mytilidae. The record is from RNAcentral.
CUACCAGGGGCGUAGCUGAGUUGAAAUAAAGUGCAAGCAUAUAUCGCCGAGCGGAGCGAGGCGAAAAUUUUUUGAGCCGAGCGAAGCGAUUUUUUUGGACCAUUUUAUGAUGAAAAUGAUAAAUACCCUAUCUGUUUCUUACUAUACCAUAUUUCAAGAAACGAUAGUAACAUCCUAGUGGGUUUCGUAAUUUGGAAACCCGGGAACAGAUAAGACACAAAAUGACAAGCAAAAACUUUCAACAUUGAAAACUAACUACAGAUGAAAAACACGGACCCCGAAAAAAUGUGGCGACCUCCGGUGCUCCGAAGGUAAGCAGGUCCUGCUUCUUGCAAGACACCCGUGGUGUUUCUCACGAGGGUCAUUUUAAAAUCAAAUGAGAGGUUUCUACGACAACGGUAGAAGGUCAUUUGUAACACAGAUACCCUAGGUGAAUCAAUAGUCUUUUGGACGAAAAUGACAAUGGGAAUACGAAAUCGAACGGCUACUUUUAAGUCUUGACUUAUAAGUAAGGGAAAUAAAUCUAAGAUGUUUUCAAGGUGAUUUUAUUGAGCCUGUAUAAUUAAAUGUUAAUACUGCAUGUAAGACUUAAACUAAAGUAUAGACUAGUUAAUAUCCAAAGUCCAUAUAUCUAUUUUUUGCCAAGGCAAAUGAUCUCAGAACUCCCUCGGUGUCAAUAUCCAUUUCUCUGUGAACAUGUAUGAGGGCCAACGAAGAUAGUCUGUCCUGUACCAUGGUUGAACGGAGAUAAGUUUUCAGUCGGCGUAAUGAACUAAAUGACCGUUCGGUAGUUGACGUAGUUACUGGCAUUGUAACUAGGAUUGCGAAAAUUGCAAAUAUUGAAGGAUAUAGCUCCUUAUUAGUCACUGAUAGAGAGGCCUUCAGAGAUUUGGGCUUCUCUAUAACAUCUGGACUCGACCAGCGUCUCUGCCAUCUCUGUACCUCUGAGUUAAAGGUUCC